GGGGAAUAUUGGACAAUGGGCGCAAGCCUCAUCCAGCCAUACCGCGUGGGUGAAGAAGGCCUUCGGGUUGUAAAGCCCUUUUGUUGGGCAAGAAAUCCAGCUGGCUAAUACCUUGUAGUUUUGACGUUACCAGCAGAAUAAGCACCGGCUAACUUCGUGCCAGCAGCCGCGGUAAUACGAAGGGUGCAAGCGUUAAUCGGAAUUACUGGGCGUAAAGCGCGCGUAGGUGGUUUGGUAAGAUGGAUGUGAAAUCCCCGGGCUCAACCUGGGAACUGCAUCCAUAACUGCCUGACUAGAGUACGGUAGAGGGUGGUGGAAUUUCCUGUGUAGCGGUGAAAUGCGUAGAUAUAGGAAGGAACACCAGUGGCGAAGGCGACCACCUGGACUGAUACUGACACUGAGGUGCGAAAGCGUGGGGAGCAAACA
This 426-nucleotide ribosomal RNA is filed under the name uncultured Pseudomonadaceae bacterium. RNAcentral describes it as "bacterial SSU rRNA". It matches the Rfam family "Bacterial small subunit ribosomal RNA", at positions 356 to 774 of the family's 1533-position model. The record is from RNAcentral. Lineage: Bacteria; Pseudomonadati; Pseudomonadota; Gammaproteobacteria; Pseudomonadales; Pseudomonadaceae.